Molecule: ribosomal RNA, 121 nt
Filed under: Candidatus Methanoliparum thermophilum
Lineage: Archaea; Methanobacteriati; Methanobacteriota; Candidatus Methanoliparia; Candidatus Methanoliparales; Candidatus Methanoliparaceae
Source: RNAcentral
CUUGGCGGCCAUAGUGAUGAGGAAACACCCGGUAACAUUCCGAACCCGGAAGUUAAGCUUAUCACGUUCUCCAUUGUACUGAAGUGCGCGAGCCUUCGGGAAGUCGAGUUUGCUGCCAAGG